ACGUCCUACGGGAGGCAGCAGGUGGGAAUAUUGGACAAUGGGGGGAACCCUGAUCCAGCCAUGCCGCGUGUGUGAAGAAGGCCUUAUGGUUGUAAAGCACUUUAAGCGAGGAGGAGGCUACUGAGACUAAUACUCUUGGUAUAGUGGACGUUACUCGCAGAAUAAGCACCGGCUAACUCUGUGCCAGCAGCCGCGGUAAUACAGAGGGUGCGAGCGUUAAUCGGAUUUACUGGGCGUAAAGCGUGCGUAGGCGGCCAUUUAAGUCAAAUGUGAAAU
RNAcentral lists this ribosomal RNA (276 nucleotides) under uncultured bacterium. Its description in RNAcentral is "partial 16S ribosomal RNA". It matches the Rfam family "Bacterial small subunit ribosomal RNA", at positions 335 to 600 of the family's 1533-position model. The record is from RNAcentral.